RNAcentral lists this ribosomal RNA (462 nucleotides) under uncultured ammonia-oxidizing beta proteobacterium. RNAcentral describes it as "bacterial SSU rRNA". It matches the Rfam family "Bacterial small subunit ribosomal RNA", at positions 202 to 647 of the family's 1533-position model. Lineage: Bacteria; Pseudomonadati; Pseudomonadota; Betaproteobacteria. The record is from RNAcentral.
AAGCAGGGGAUCGCAAGACCUUGCGCUUUUGGAGUGGCCGAUGCCUGAUUAGCUAGUUGGUGGGGUAAGGGCCUACCAAGGCACCGAUCAGUAGUUGGUCUGAGAGGACGACCAGCCACACUGGGACUGAGACACGGCCCAGACUCCUACGGGAGGCAGCAGUGGGGAAUUUUGGACAAUGGGCGAAAGCCUGAUCCAGCAAUGCCGCGUGAGUGAAGAAGGCCUUCGGGUUGUAAAGCUCUUUCAGUCGGGAAGAAAAGGUUGCGACUAAUAAUCGCGAUUCAUGACGGUACCGACAGAAGAAGCACCGGCUAACUACGUGCCAGCAGCCGCGGUAAUACGUAGGGUGCGAGCGUUAAUCGGAAUUACUGGGCGUAAAGGGUGCGCAGGCGGCUCUGUAAGUCAGAUGUGAAAUCCCCGGGCUUAACCUGGGAAUUGCGUUUGAAACUACAAGACUAGAGU